AGAGUUUGAUCAUGGCUCAGGACGAACGCUGGCGGCAGGCUUAACACAUGCAAGUCGAGCGCGUAGCAAUACGAGCGGCAGACGGGUGAGUAACGCGUGGGAACGUGCCUUUCGGUUCGGAACAACCAAGGGAAACUUUGGCUAAAACCGGAUACGCCCUCAGGGGGAAAGUUUACGCCGAAAGAUCGGCCCGCGUCUGAUUAGCUAGUUGGUGAGGUAACGGCUCACCAAGGCGACGAUCAGUAGCUGGUCUGAGAGGAUGAUCAGCCACAUUGGGACUGAGACACGGCCCAAACUCCUACGGGAGGCAGCAGUGGGGAAUAUUGGACAAUGGGGGCAACCCUGAUCCAGCCAUGCCGCGUGAGUGAUGAAGGCCCUAGGGUUGUAAAGCUCUUUUGUGCGGGAAGAUAAUGACGGUACCGCAAGAAUAAGCCCCGGCUAACUUCGUGCCAGCAGCCGCGGUAAUACGAAGGGGGCUGGCGUUGCUCGGAAUCACUGGGCGUAAAGGGUGCGUAGGCGGGUCUUUAAGUCAGGGGUGAAAUCCUGGAGCUCAACUCCAGAACUGCCUUUGAUACUGAGGAUCUUGAGUCCGGGAGAGGUGAGUGGAACUGCGAGUGUAGAGGUGAAAUUCGUAGAUAUUCGCAAGAACACCAGUGGCGAAGGCGGCUCACUGGCCCGGUACUGACGCUGAGGCACGAAAGCGUGGGGAGCAAACAGGAUUAGAUACCCUGGUAGUCC
Molecule: ribosomal RNA, 738 nt
Filed under: uncultured bacterium
Lineage: Bacteria
Description: bacterial SSU rRNA
Rfam family: Bacterial small subunit ribosomal RNA
Source: RNAcentral